AGAGUUUGAUCCUGGCUCAGGACGAACGCUGGCGGCGUGCUUAACACAUGCAAGUCGAACGGAAAGGUCUCUUCGGAGAUACUCGAGUGGCGAACGGGUGAGUAACACGUGGGUGAUCUGCUGCACUUCGGGAUAAGCUUGGGAAACUGGGUCUAAUACCGGAUAGGACCAUGCUGCGCAUGUGGUGUGGUGGAAAGCUU
This 200-nucleotide ribosomal RNA is filed under the name uncultured bacterium. Its description in RNAcentral is "partial 16S ribosomal RNA". It matches the Rfam family "Bacterial small subunit ribosomal RNA", at positions 8 to 210 of the family's 1533-position model. The record is from RNAcentral.